CCAUCGUCAACUCCCCUGUGGCCCGGGCUCCCCCUCCCUCCAGCCUCCCCGCAGGUCAGGUCUUCAAUCCUCCCAUCUGUACCAGGGUGUGGAGUGCAGACCCAGCCCAGUUGGUGACCUGACCAAGAUCCAUUCCUGCCACAGCUACUUUCUACCUGUGAGCUCCCCAAACUGGCCCCAGAUGUGAAGGCCCCGUCACUGGAAGGUCAUCCAUUCAUUCAAUGAACACGCACCGAGAGCUGCUGAGCACCAGCUCAGGGUCUGACAUGGGCCGACUCCAGGAGGAAUCACACGCUGGCCGCCCUCGAGGGGGCACAGCCUCCCUGGGGAGAACAUGCAAACACAGACAGAUAUCCUACAGCAGAGGAGGGGACAGUGGGGGACCACAGAAGGCUUCUCUGUGACCCCUGAGCUAUGGCUUAAAGAAUAAGGGCAGCUAACCUGGGAAGCAGGAGAGCUUGGAGCAGAAGGCCAGGGAGAAAAGGUACUCAGGCCCUGGGGAGGGCAACAGCAUAGGCAGAGAACCUACGAGAAUAUCCCCCAGAGAUGGCACCUUGUCUGUGGGGACAAGAGAGGCCAGUGUCCAUAGGUCCACCAGGGCCUUGGGAGCAGGGGUGGGCUGGGCAGGGGCUAGCAUAAGGCAGCUUCAGCACUGAGGAGGUAGAGAACAGAGCGGACACCACAGGAGUUUAGGCAAGAGGGAUACAUGGACAGGCAGAGCUGGAGACCACACCAGGAAUGGGGGUGGUUUGGGCCAGGGGCAGAUGACACAGAGAUAUGGGAGAUGGAGGGUUGGUACAGUGAAGACAGCAUGAGGGCAGAGCACAGGGCGCCUUGGCAUGAACGUGGAUGUGUGAUCUCAGCUAAGCCCCUGCCUCAGUUUCCCCGUCUGUACCAUGAAGGGCUCCCCCUCACUCAUGGACACUGGGAAUCCUGUGGUAAACAGGACAGCCUGGUUCCUGCCUCUGGGCUCACAGCCUAGGGGGAGGUGAGACAGGAAGAGAAUUAACUCCCUCAAGGAGUUAACCAAAGAAGGGGAGUUGAGGCACUAUGGAGGCUCGGCAGAAGCCGGGGCAUGCUCGGGUGCUCACUCUCAGUUGUCUUUGGGGAACCCCUGACCCCAUCAUCAUGCAUUGGGAACAGACACAUGCCUCCCUCUUGACGUAGGCCUGGCCAAUCAGCUUCCUUCAUCUCCAGGCCCAUGGUGAUUUUCCAGGACAGGCAUGUGGAUGUGGCUGACUCAAAGCUGGGGCUCCAGCUGAGGGGUCAGGGAAUGAGGUGCCUUGAGGAGCAGAAUGGGGGAGGCCUGGCUGGGCAUGGAGUUCACAUUCAGGCAAGAGGCCAAGUGACAGUAAUAACAUUUGAGCACCUGUAUCCAGCCAUACCUCAAGUUCACAGACCUGGAUUUUUAAACUACUUGUG
Molecule: long non-coding RNA, 1422 nt
Filed under: Homo sapiens (human)
Lineage: Eukaryota; Metazoa; Chordata; Mammalia; Primates; Hominidae
Description: HSALNT0311787
Source: RNAcentral